GGCAGGCAAUCCUGUAAAUUAA
Molecule: small nuclear RNA, 22 nt
Filed under: Arabidopsis thaliana (thale cress)
Lineage: Eukaryota; Viridiplantae; Streptophyta; Magnoliopsida; Brassicales; Brassicaceae
Description: snRNA_19125
Source: RNAcentral